AUCUCCUUCAGGAAGCCAAACUCCUCUUGAGAGCUCACCAUGGUGUCCUGGACUCUGCUUUUCCUUGCUCUUUUCAGUUCCUGCUCAGGGGUCCAUUCUCAGAGUGUGACUCAACACCUGGCCUCCACCACUGUGUCGCUAGGCCAAACAGUUGAACUCUACUGCACCAGAAGCAGUGGAGGUAGCUGGCACGCCUGGUACAACUGGUUCCAGCAGAGACCUGGGCAGGGCCCUCGCUUUGUGCACAGGCCAGGUGGCAGCCGGGGAGAAGGGAUCCCGGAUCGGUUCACUGCCUCCAGCUCUGGGGGUAUUUGGUAUUUGACCAUCACUAACGCCCAGGCUGAAGACGAGGCGGAUUAUUACUGCGGCGAAUGGGAGAACACUGGUGGUUUGAAGUUCCACAUUCCUGCUCAGACAGUGAAACUCUCCUGCACCCGAAGCAGCGGAGGGAGCUGGAACAACUGGUACAACUGGUAUCAACAGAAACCUGGACAAGCCCCUCGCUUUGUACACUGUGGAGCCUCAGCCUGCAGCAGGGGAGAAGGGAUCCCGGAUCGGUUCACUGCCUCUGGCUCUGGGGGUACUUGGGAUUUGACCAUCACGAACAUCCAGCCCGAAGACGAUGCAGCUUAUUACUGUGGCGACUGGGAGAGCACUGGGGGUUACAAGUUCCACAGUGGUACAGUCUAA
This is a non-coding RNA of Hemicordylus capensis (graceful crag lizard), 690 nucleotides long. Lineage: Eukaryota; Metazoa; Chordata; Lepidosauria; Squamata; Cordylidae. The record is from the annotation of a RefSeq genome assembly.